This 865-nucleotide long non-coding RNA is filed under the name Homo sapiens (human). Its description in RNAcentral is "HSALNT0128105". The record is from RNAcentral. Lineage: Eukaryota; Metazoa; Chordata; Mammalia; Primates; Hominidae.
UGUUGUCAUGGUGACGAUGGUAUACCAGAAGGCUGCAGGGAUGCUGGUGAACUUGCUAGCCGAAGACCCCUUCUCUGCGUAGAACAUAACUGUAGCGAAGAUGAUGAUAGCCAUGGUGAGCGAGAAAAGCAAGAAGCCCAAUUCUGAGGCACAACUCUUCAGUGUGUACCCCAGGAUGCGCACCCAAUGUAAUAAGGCAGGAUGGCCACCACGUCGAUGAUACUCAUGACACUACGCACAAAACGGUAACGACUAGGCGCUGCAGCCAGGCGAAGCAAAUACUCAACUGUGAAGAUCAUGACGCAGGCCGUGUCCAAGCAGAAGAAGGCCACAGCAUACCGCUCUCCACAGGGCAGUUCUUUAAUGUGACCUGGGCUUGAUCCGCACGGCACUGUUUCCACCACAUUCGCGAUGACAGAGACGGCAAUGAAAAACCCCGUGACAUAGUAGAACACCAGGGCCAUCGUGCUGGUGUGGGGGUUCUCGAAGGCCCUCCAGACCCUCUGCGUCGUCCUGCAGGCGCUCGGCGUUCUCUCGCCUGCGAUCCUUGUACUCCUCAUAACAGCAGUCGCCGAUGAUUUCCGGGAUGAGGCCAAAGAAGGCCAGUUCUUCAUCGUAAGCAGAGAUGCACUCGUGGCGAGGAUAGUGGAGCUUCCCAGUGCGGUAGAAAUUCAGGAUGUGGCGGAAGAUGUCUGGGUCACGGUCAAAGAAAUACUGCUGAGUUUCUGGGUGGUAGAAAAAGUCCCUCUCAGAACUGCCCAGUAGAGUGUCUGGGUAACGUUCCAGGGUGUCCUGCCACGUCUGGAAGCGGGUGCCACUCACAUUCAGCACAAUGAGAGCAUCUUGGGUCCUUUUCCUCUCCUGC